RNAcentral lists this microRNA precursor (85 nucleotides) under Bombyx mori (domestic silkworm). RNAcentral describes it as "mir-2807 microRNA precursor family". It matches the Rfam family "mir-2807 microRNA precursor family". Lineage: Eukaryota; Metazoa; Arthropoda; Insecta; Lepidoptera; Bombycidae. The record is from Rfam by way of RNAcentral.
UUAACUUACAUUUGUAUGGAGUUGGAACGUUUGCCUACGUUUGCCGCUAGGGGCGCUGUGCCGACUCCAUACAAAUCGUACUGUA